AUGCACGCUGGCGGCGUGCCUCAUACAUGCCAGUCGCGCGAACAGACGAGGAGCUUGCUCCUCUGACGUUAGCGGCGGACGGGUGAGUAACACGUGGAUAACCUACCUAUAAGACUGGGAUAACUUCGGGAAACCGGAGCUAAUACCGGAUAAUAUAUUGAACCGCAUGGUUCAAUAGUGAAAGACGGUUUUGCUGUCACUUAUAGAUGGAUCCGCGCCGCAUUAGCUAGUUGGUAAGGUAACGGCUUACCAAGGCAACGAUGCGUAGCCGACCUGAGAGGGUGAUCGGCCACACUGGAACUGAGACACGGUCCAGACUCCUACGGGAGGCAGCAGUAGGGAAUCUUCCGCAAUGGGCGAAAGCCUGACGGAGCAACGCCGCGUGAGUGAUGAAGGUCUUCGGAUCGUAAAACUCUGUUAUUAGGGAAGAACAAAUGUGUAAGUAACUAUGCACGUCUUGACGGUACCUAAUCAGAAAGCCACGGCUAACUACGUG
Molecule: ribosomal RNA, 496 nt
Filed under: uncultured bacterium
Lineage: Bacteria
Description: partial 16S ribosomal RNA
Rfam family: Bacterial small subunit ribosomal RNA
Source: RNAcentral